AGAGUUUGAUCCUGGCUCAGAACGAACGCUGGCGGCGUGCUUAAUACAUGCAAGUCGUGCGAGAAAGUGGGGGCAACUCCAUGAGUACAGCGGCGAACGGGUGAGUAACACGUAAGAAACCUGCCUCUAAGUCUGGAACAACACUGCUAACGCGGUGCUAAUACCGGAUGUGAUUGCGCGGCCGCAUGGUUGUGCAAUCAAAAAUGACCUCUCCCUGGAAGUUAUCGCUUAGAGAUGGUCUUGCGCCCCAUUAGCUAGUUGGCGGGGUAACGGCCCACCAAGGCUGUGAUGGGUAGCCGGUCUGAGAGGGCGAUCGGCCACAUUGGGACUGAGAUACGGCCCAGACUCCUACGGGAGGCAGCAGUAGGGAAUUUUGCGCAAUGGACGAAAGUCUGACGCAGCAACGCCGCGUGAGUGAUGAAGGUCUUCGGAUUGUAAAGCUCUGUUGAGUGGGAAGAAAGUCCUGGGGAAUAAUACGCCUUGGGAUUGACGGUACCAUUCGAGUAAGCACCGGCUAACUACGUGCCAGCAGCCGCGGUAAUACGUAGGGUGCAAGCGUUGUUCGGAUUUACUGGGCGUAAAGGGAGCGUAGGCGGAAAUGCAAGUUGGGAGUGAAAUCCAUAGGCGCAACCUGUGGGUUGCUUCCAAAACUGCUUUUCUUGAGUAUGGGAGAGGAUGAUGGAAUUCCAGGUGUAGCGGUGGAAUGCGUAGAUAUCUGGAAGAACACCAGUUGCGAAGGCGGUCAUCUGGCCCAAUACUGACGCUGAGGCUCGAAAGCUAGGGGAGCAAACAGGAUUAGAUACCCUGGUAGUCCUAGCCGUAAACGAUGGACACUAGUUGUUGGGGGGAUUUCUCCCUCAGUGACGUAGCUAACGCGUUAAGUGUCCCGCCUGGGGAGUACGCCCGCAAGGGUGAAACUCAAAGGAAUUGACGGGGGCCCGCGCAUGCGGUGGAGCAUGUGCUUUAAUUCGAUGCAACGCGAAGAACCUUACCUGGGCUUGACAUGGGAAUGAAAGGCUGCAGAGAUGUGGCCCUUACCUUCGGGUACAUUCUACACAGGUGCUGCAUGGUUGUCGUCAGCUCGUGUCGUGAGAUGUUGGGUUAAGUUCCGCAACGAGCGCAACCCUCGUCCUUAGUUGCCAUCAGGUAAUGCUGGGAACUCUAAGGAUACUGCCUGGUUUAACCAGGAGGAAGGUGGGGAUGACGUCAAAUCAUCAUGGCCCUUACGUCCAGGGCUAGACACGUGCUACAAUGGCCGGUACAGAGGGAUGCAAGGCUGCGAGGUCAAGCUAAUCCCCCAAAACCGGUCUCAGUUCGGAUUGAAGUCUGCAAUUCGACUUCAUGAAGCUGGAAUCGCUAGUAAUCGCGGAUCAGCAUGCCGCGGUGAAUACGUUCCCGGGCCUUGUACACACCGCCCGUCAAGCCAUGAAAGAGGGUAGUACCCAAAGUCGCUUCUCCAACCGCAAGGGGGAGGGUGCCUAAGGUAAGACUCUUGAUUGGGGCUAAGUCGUAACAAGGUA
Molecule: ribosomal RNA, 1520 nt
Filed under: metagenome
Description: bacterial SSU rRNA
Rfam family: Bacterial small subunit ribosomal RNA
Source: RNAcentral